AUACUUACCUGGCAGGGGAGACACUGUGAUCAGCAAGACGGUUUUCCCAGGGCGAGACUCAUUCAUUGCGUUUGGGAUUUCCCAAAUGCGAGAAACUCCGCUGAACAAUUUGUGGUAGUGGAGGACUGGAAAAAAUUGCUAGGAGGGUCACGCUCAG
Molecule: small nuclear RNA, 157 nt
Organism: Nannospalax galili (Upper Galilee mountains blind mole rat)
Lineage: Eukaryota; Metazoa; Chordata; Mammalia; Rodentia; Spalacidae
Gene: U1
Rfam family: U1 spliceosomal RNA
About the family: U1 is a small nuclear RNA (snRNA) component of the spliceosome (involved in pre-mRNA splicing).
Source: Ensembl